RNAcentral lists this long non-coding RNA (9202 nucleotides) under Triticum aestivum (bread wheat). Its description in RNAcentral is "long non-coding RNA (TAES_LNC012236)". Lineage: Eukaryota; Viridiplantae; Streptophyta; Magnoliopsida; Poales; Poaceae. The record is from RNAcentral.
CUGUGUUAUAUUCAUCUUCCUCAAGUACUACAACACUGGUAGUUGUACACAUAUGAUGGUGAUUCGCUCCGGCCAUUCCAGUUUUGGCGGUGGUGGUGCUGCUGCUCCUAUGAUGGUAGACUUGUCUAAUUCCCCUAGCCGCAUCCAUGGUGAUGAAGCUCGGCCUAGGCUAGAACUGUUGGGGAACGUAGCAGAAAUUCAAAAAAAUUCCUACGUAACACCAAGAUCUAUCUAUGGAGAGACCAGCAACGAGUAGAAAGGGGAGUGCAUCUACAUACCAUUGUAGAUCGCUAAGCGGAAGCGUUCAAGUGAACGGGGUUGAUGGAGUCGUACUCGUUGUGAUUCAGAUCACCGAUGAUCAAGUGCCGAACGGACGGCACCUCUGCGUUCAACACACGUACAGCCCGGUGACGUCUCCCACGCCUUGAUCCAGCAAGGAGAGAGGGAGAGGUUGAGGAAGACUCCAUCCAGCAGCAGCACAACGGCGUGGUGGUGAUGGAGGAGCGUGGCAAUCCUGCAGGGCUUCGCCAAGCACCUACGGGAUAGGAGGAGGUGUCACGGGAGGGAGGGAGGCGCCAAGGGCUCAGGUAUGGAUGCCCUCCCUUCCCUCCACUAUAUAUAGGGGCAGGGGAGAGGGGGGAGGCGCAGCCUUGCCCCCUACUCCAAGAAAGGGGUGCGGCCAAGAGGGGGGGAGGAGUCCAUCCUCCCCAAGGCACCUCGGAGGUGCCUUCCCCCUCGAGGACUCUUCCCUCUAGGGUUCCCUAGGCGCAUGGGCUUCUUGGGGCUGGUGCCCUUGGCCCAUGUAGGCCAAGGCGCACCCCCUACAGCCCAUGUGGCCCCCCGAGGCAGGUGGCCCCACCCGGUGGGCCCCCGGGACCCUUCCGGUGGUCCCGGUACAAUACCGAUGACCCCGAAACUUGUCCCGAUGGCCGAAACAGGACUUCCUAUAUAUAAAUCUUUACCUCCGGACCAUUCCGGAACUCCUCGUGACGUCCGGGAUCUCAUCCGGGACUCCGAACAACAUUCGGUAACCACAUACAAGCUUCCUUUAUAACCCUAGCGUCAUCGAACCUUAAGUGUGUAGACCCUACGGGUUCGGGAGACAUGUAGACAUGACCGAGACGUUCUCCGGUCAAUAACCAACAGCGGGAUAUGGAUACCCAUGAUGGCUCCCACAUGUUCCACGAUGAUCUCAUCGGAUGAACCACGAUGUCAAGGACUCAAUCGAUCCCGUAUUCAAUUCCCUUUGUCUAUCGGUAUGUUACUUGCCCGAGAUUCGAUCGUCGGUAUACCGAUACCUUGUUCAAUCUCGUUACCGGCAAGUCUCUUUACUCGUUCCGUAACACAUCAUCCCGUGAUCAACUCCUUGGUCACAUUUGCGCAAAUGAUGAUGUCCUACCGAGUGGGCCCAGAGAUACCUCUCCGUUUACACGGAGUGACAAAUUCCAGUCUCGAUCCGCAUAAAACAAUAGAUACUUUCGGAGAUACCUGUAGUGCACCUUUAUAGUCACCCAGUUACGUUGUGACGUUUGAUACACCCAAAGCACUCCUACGGUAUCCAGGAGUUACAUGAUCUCAUGGUCAAAGGAAGAGAUACUUGACAUUGGCAAAGCUCUAGCAAACGAACUACACGAUCUUUGUGCUAGUCUUAGGAUUGGGUCUUGUCCAUCACAUCAUUCUCCUAAUGAUGUGAUCCCGUUAUCAACGACAUCCAAUGUCCAUAGCCAGGAAACCAUGACUAUCUGUUGAUCACAACGAGCUAGUCAACUAGAGGCUCACUAGGGACAUAUUGUGGUCUAUGUAUUCACACGUGUAUUACGAUUUCCGGAUAAUACAGUUAUAGCAUGAAUAAAAGACAAUUAUCAUGAACAAGGAAAUAUAAUAAUAAUACUUUUAUUAUUGCCUCUAGGGCAUAUUUCAAACAGUCUCCCACUUGCACUAGAGUCAAUAAUCUAGUUCACAUCGCCAUGUGAUUAACACUCACAGGUCACAUCGCCAUGUGACUAAUACCCAAGAGUUUACUAGAGUCAGUAGUCUAGUUCACAUCACUAUGUGAUUAACACUCAAUGAGUUUUAUGUUUGAUCAUGUUGCUUGUGAGAGAGGUUUUAGUCAACGGGUCUGAACCUUUCAGAUCCGUGUGUGCUUUACAAAUCUCUAUGUCAUCUCCUAGAUGCAGCUACCACGCUCUAUUUGGAGCUAUUCCAAACAACUGUUCUACUUGGAGCUAUUCUAAAUUAUUGCUCCAUUAUAUGUAUCCGGUCUCUCUACUCAGAGCUAUCCGGAUAGGUGUCAAGCUUGCAUCGUCGUAACCUUUACGACGAACUCUUUUACCACCUCCAUAAUCGAGAAAAUACCUUAGUCCACUAGUUACUAAGGAUAACUUUGACCGCUGUCCUGUGAGCCAUUCUUGGAUCACUCUUGUACCCCUUGACUGACUCAUGGCAAGGCACACUUCAGGUGCGGUACACAGCAUAGCAUACUGAAGAGCCUACGUCUUAAGCAUAGGGGACGACCUUCGUCCUUUCUCUCUAUUCUGCCGUGGUCGAGCUUUAAGUCUUAACUUCGUACCUUACAACUCAGGCAAGAACUCCUUCUUUGACUGGUCCAUCUUGAACACCUUCAAGAUCAUGUCAAGGUAUGUGCUCAUUUGAAAGUAUUAUUAAGCAUUUUGAUCUAUCCUUAUAGAUCUUGAUGCUCAAUGUUCAAGUAGCUUAAUCCAGGUUUUCUAUUGAAAAACACCUUUCAAAUAACCCUAUAUGCUUUCUAGAAAUUCUACAUCAUUUCUGAUCAACAUAUACUCAUCAGAAAUUCUAUAGUGCUCCCACUCACUUCUUUGGAAAUACAAGUUUCUCAUAAACUUUGUACAAACCCAAAAUCUUUGAUCAUCAUCAAAGCAUUCAUUCCAACUCCGAGAUGCUCACUCCAGUCCUUAAAAGGAUCGCUGGAGCUAGCAUAUCUUUUAGCAUCCUUAGGAUCGACAAAACUUUUCUGAUUGUAUUGCUUACAACCUUUCCUUACGAAAACUAGUAAGGAAACUUGUCUUGACAUCCAUCUGCCAGAUUUCAUAAAUGCAGCUAAUGCUAACAUGAUUCCGACGGACUUUAAGCAUCGCUACGGAUGAGAAAAACUCAUCGUAGUCAACUCCUUGAACUUGUGAAAAACUUUUCGCCACAAGUCGAGCUUCAUGGAUGGUGACAUUACCAUCCGCGUCCGUCUUCUUCUUAAAAGAUCCAUUUAUCUCAAUGGCUUGCCGAUCAUCGGGCAAGUCCACCAAAGUCCAUGCUUUGUUCUGAUAUAUGGAUACUAUCUCGGAUUUCAUGGCUUCUAACCAUUUGUCGGAAUUCGGGCCCACCAUCGCUUCUCCAUAGCUCGUAGGUUCAUUGUUGUCCAGCAACAUGACCUUCAAGACAGGAUCACCUUACCACUCCGAAGUAGUACAUGUCCUUGUCGUCCUACGAGGUUUGGUAGUGACUUGAUCCGAAGUUUCAUGAUCAAUAUCAUAAGCUUCCACUUCAAUUGGUGUAGGUGCCACAGGAACAAUCUUCCUGUGCCCUGCCACACACUAGUUUAAGAGACGGUUCAAUAACCUCAUCAAGUUUCCACCAUCCUCCCACUCAAUUCUUUCGAGAGAAACCUUUCCUCGAGAAAGGACCCGAUUCUAGAAACAAUCCAUAUUGCUUUCGGAUCUGAAUUAGGAGGUAUACCCAACUGUUUUGGGUUUCCUAUGAAGAUGCAUUUUAUCCGCUUUGGGUUCGAGCUUAUCAACCUGAAACUUUUUCAUAUAAGCAUCGCAGCCCCAAACUUUUAAGAAACGACAACUUAGGUUUCUCUAAACCAUAAUUCAAACGGUGUCGUCUCAACGGAAUUACGUGGUGCCCUAUUUAAAGUGAAUGUGGUUGUCUCUAAUGCCUAACCCAUGAACGAUAGUGGUAAUUCGAUAAGAGACAUCAUGGUACGCACCAUAUCCAAUAGGGUGCAACUAUGAUGUUCGGACACACCAUCAUACUAUGGUGUUCCAGGCGGUAUUAAUUGCGAAACAAUUUCCACAAUGUCUUAAUUGUGUGCCAAAACUCGUAACUCAGAUAUUUAUCUCUAUGAUCAUAUCAUAGACAUUUUAUCCUCUUGUCACAAUGAUCUUCUACUUCACUCUGAAAUUACUUGAACCAUUCAAUAAUUCAGACUUGUGUUUCAUCAAGUAAAUAUUCUCAACAUCUACUCGAAUCAUCUGUGAAGUAAGAUCAUAACGAUAUUCACUGCAUGCCUCAGCACUCAUUGGAUUGGACACAUCAAAAUGUGUUACUUACAACAAGUUUCUAUCUUGUUCCAUCUUACUGAAACCGAGGCUUUUCAGUCAUCUUGCCCAUGUGGUAUGAUUUGCAUAUCUCAAGUGAUUCAAAAUCAAGUGAGUUCAAACGGUCCAUUUGCAUGGAGUUUCUUCAUGCAUAUAUACCAAUAGACAUGGUUCGCAUGUCUCAAACUUUUCAAAACGAGUGAGUCCAAAGAUCCAUCAACAUGGAGCUUCUUCAUGCGUUUUAUACCAUCAUGACUUACAUGGCAGUGCCACAAGUAAGUGGUACUAUCAUUACUAUCUUAUAUCUUUUGGCAUGAAAAUGUGUAUCCCUACAAUCAAGAUUCAAUAAACCAUUCCUUUAGGUGCAAGAGCACUUAUUCAGGUUUAAUACUAAUCUUGAUGGCAGAGGGAGCGUGCGAUGUUAGAUCAUAUCAAACUUGGAAACACUUCCAACACGUAUCGUCAGCUCACCUUUAGCUAGUCUCCGUUUUAUUCCGUAGCUUUUAUUUCGAGUUACUAACACUUAGCAACCUGAACCGGUAUCUAAUACCCUGGUGCUACUAGGAGUACUAGUAAAGUACACAUGUAUAUCCAAUAUACUUCUAUCGACCUUGCCAGCCUUCUCAUCUACCAAGUAUCUAGGGUAAUCUUGCUCCAGUGGUUGUUCCCCUUAUUACAGAAGCACUUAGUCUCGGGUUUGGGUUCAACCUUGGGUUUCUUCAUUGGUGCAUCAGCUGAUUUGCCGUUUCAUGAAGUAUCCCUUCUUUCCCUUGCCCUUCUUGAAACUAGUGGUUUCAUCAACCAUCAACAAUUGAUGCUCCUUCUUGAUUUCUACUUUCGCGGUGUCAAACAAUGCGAAUAUUUCAAGGAUCAUCAUAUCUAUCCCUGAUAUGUUAUAGUUCAUCACGAAGCUCUAGCAGCUUGGUGGUAAUGACUUUGGAGAAACUAUCACUAUUUCAUCUGGAAGAUCAACUCCCACUUGAUUCAAGUGAUUGUUGUACUCAGACAAUCUGAGCACAAGCUCAACAAUUGAGCUUCUCUCCUCAGUUUGCAGGCUAAGAAAAAUCGUCGGAGGUCUCAAACCUCUUGACGUGGGCACGAGCCUGAAAUCCUAAUUUCAGCCCUCGAAACAUCUCAUAUGUUCCGCGACGUUUCGAAAAUGUCUUUGGUGCCUCUACUUAAACCAUUUAACUGAACUAUCACGUAGUUAUCAAAACGUGUAUGUCCGAUGUUCGCAACAUCGACAAAAGACGUUGGGGUUCAGCACACUGAGCGGUGCAUUAAGGACAUAAGCUUUCUACUGAUCGCAUAAUCGCUACUAUCAACUUUCAACUAUAUUUUCUCUAGGAACAUAUCUAAAACAGUAGAACUAUAGCGUGAGCGACAUAAUUUGCAAAAGGUCUUUUGACUAUGUUCAGGAUAAUUAAGUUCAUCUUAUGAACUCCCACUCAGAUAGACAUCCCUCUGGUCAUCUAAGUGAUUACAUGAUCCGAGUCAACUAGGCCGUGUCCGAUCAUCACGUGAGACGGACUAGUCAUCAUCGGUGAACAUCUUCAUGUUGAUCGUAUCUACUAUACGACUCAUGCUCGACCUUUCGGUCUCCGUGUUCCGAGGCCAUGUCUGCACAUGCUAGGCUCGUCAAGUUAACCCUAAGUGUUUUCGUUGUGUAAAACUGUCUUACACCCAUUGUAUGUGAACGUAAGAAUCCAUCACACCCGAUCAUCACGUGGUGCUUAGAAGCGACGAACUGUAGCAACGGUGCACAGUUAGGGGAGAACACUUCUUGAAAUUUUGUAAGGGAUCAUCUUAUUUACUACCGUCGUCCUAAGUAAACAAGAUGCAUAAACAUAAUAAACAUCACAUGCAAUUAUAUAGUUGUGACAUGAUAUGGCCAAUAUCAUAUAGCUCCAUUGAUCUCCAUCUUCGGGGCUCCAUGAUCAUCUUGUCACCGGCAUGACACCAUGAUCUCCAUCAUCAUGAUCUCCAUCAUCGUGUCUUCAUGAAGUUGUCACGCCAACGACUACUUCUACUUCUAUGGCUAACGCGUUUAGCAAUAAAGUAAAGUAAGUUACAUGGCGUUCUUCAAUGACACGCAGGUCAUACAAAAAAUAAAGACAACUCCUAUGGCUCCUGCCGGUUGUCAUACUCAUCGACAUGCAAGUCGUGAAUCCUAUUACAAGAACAUGAUCAAUCUCAUACAUCACAUAUCAUUCAUCUCAUCCUUUUGGCCAUAUCACAUCACAUAGCAUACCCUGCAAAAACAAGUUAGACGUCCUCUAAUUGUUGUUUGCAUGUUUUACGUGGCUGCUAUGGGUUUCUAGCAAGAACGUUUCUUACCUACGCAAAACCACAACGUGAUAUGCCAAUUGCUAUUUACCCUUCAUAAGGACCCUUUUCAUCGAAUCCGUUCCGACUAAAGUGGGAGAGACUGGCACCCGCUAGCCACCUUAUGCACCAAGUGCAUGUCAAUCGGUGGAACCUGUCUCACGUAAGCGUACGUGUAAGGUUGGUCCGGGCCGCUUCAUCCCACGAUGCCGCCGAAUCAAGAUAAGACUAGUAACGGCAAGCAUAUUGAACAAUAUCGACGCCCACAACUACUUUGUGUUCUACUCGUGCAAAGAAUCUACGCAAUAGACCUAGCUCAUGAUGCCACUGUUGGGGAACGUAGCAGAAAUUCAAAAAAUUUCCUACGUAACACCAAGAUCUAUCUAUGGAGAGACCAGCAACGAGUAGAAAGGGGAGUGCAUCUACAUACCCUUGUAGAUCGCUAAGCGGAAGCAUUCAAGUGAACGGGGUUGAUGGAGUCGUACUCGUCGUGAUUCAGAUCACCGAUGAUCAAGUGCCGAACGGACGGCACCUCCGCGUUCAACACACGUACAGCCCGGUGACGUCUCCCACGCCUUGAUCCAGCAAGGAGAGAGGGAGAGGUUGAGGAAGACUCCAUCCAGCAGCAGCACAACGGCGUGGUGGUGAUGGAGGAGCGUGGCAAUCCUGCAGGGCUUCGCCAAGCACCUACGGGAUAGGAGGAGGUGUCACGGGAGGGAGGGAGGCGCCAAGGGCUCAGGUAUGGAUGCCCUCCCUUCCCUCCACUAUAUAUAGGGGCAGGGGAGAGGGGGGAGGCGCAGCCUUGCCCCCUACUCCAAGAAAGGGGUGCGGCCAAGAGGGGGGGAGGAGUCCAUCCUCCCCAAGGCACCUCGGAGGUGCCUUCCCCCUCGAGGACUCUUCCCUCUAGGGUUCCCUAGGCGCAUGGGCUUCUUGGGGCUGGUGCCCUUGGCCCAUGUAGGCCAAGGCGCACCCCCUACAGCCCAUGUGGCCCCCCGGGGCAGGUGGCCCCACCCGGUGGGCCCCCGGGACCCUUCCGGUGGUCCCGGUACAAUACCGAUGACCCCGAAACUUGUCCCGAUGGCCAAAACAGGACUUCCUAUAUAUAAAUCUUUACCUCCAGACCAUUCCGGAACUCCUCAUGACGUCCGGGAUCUCAUCCGGGACUCCGAACAACAUUCGGUAACCACAUACAAGCUUCCUUUAUAACCCUAGCGUCAUCGAACCUUAAGUGUGUAGACCCUACGGGUUCGGGAGACAUGUAGACAUGACCGAGACGUUCUCCGGUCAAUAACCAACAGCGGGAUCUGGAUACCCAUGAUGGCUCCCACAUGUUCCACGAUGAUCUCAUCGGAUGAACCACGAUGUCAAGGACUCAAUCGAUCCCGUAUUCAAUUCCCUUUGUCUAUCGGUAUGUUACUUGCCCGAGAUUCGAUCGUCGGUAUACCGAUACCUUGUUCAAUCUCGUUACCGGCAAGUCUCUUUACUCGUUCCGUAACACAUCAUCCCGUGAUCAACUCCUUGGUCACAUUUGCGCAAAUGAUGAUGUCCUACCGAGUGGGCCCAGAGAUACCUCUCCGUUUACACGGAGUGACAAAUUCCAGUCUCGAUCCGCAUAAAACAAUAGAUACUUUCGGAGAUACCUGUAGUGCACCUUUAUAGUCACCCAGUUACGUUGUGAUGUUUGAUACACCCAAAGCACUCCUACGGUAUCCAGGAGUUACACGAUCUCAUGGUCAAAGGAAGAGAUACUUGACAUUGGCAAAGCUCUAGCAAACGAACUACACGAUCUUUGUGCUAGUCUUAGGAUUGGGUCUUGUCCAUCACAUCAUUCUCCUAAUGAUGUGAUCCCGUUAUCAACGACAUCCAAUGUCCAUAGCCAGGAAAUCGUGACCAUCUAUUGAUCAACGAGCUAGUCAACUAGAGGCUUACUAGGGACAUAUUGUGGUCUAUGUAUUCACACGUGUAUUACGAUUUCCGGAUAAUACAGUUAUAGCAUGAAUAAAAGACAAUUAUCAUGAACAAGGAAAUAUAAUAAUAAUACUUUUAUUAUUGCCUCUAGGGCAUAUUUCCAACAAGAACCCCCUCCAGUGAGCUCCUCAAGUCCUCUUAUACCCCUCCUACUUGCUUGUUGGUUCUAUGCUCUGCCUUUGUGAGGUGUAAUUGUUCAAUUUUGUUCAUAGUCGAGCAUUGGAUGAUAUUGUAUUUGUCAUGAUGUACAUGGUUCAUGAACUAUGCCAACCUGCAGCUUUGUUGUACUAGUGAUAGUAGGAUAAUGCAAGUUUUGACAAUCCAUGCAUAUUUCCGCAUCAUAAUAAUCUUCUUCUUCUAGUCUUCUUCUUCUAACUUUCUUCUUUCCCAUUUUACAAAUUUGCUUAAGACCACGGAAGCUUGGGUUGAUGGAGUGCUUGUAUUUAGUUUUUGUUUUGACCUUGUGAAACUUGCUACCUAUGGAUGAAACCGUGUAAUAUUGAUGAAACUAUGUAUAUGUACGAAUGAAACUUGCUAUUAUUGGUAACAUGUGUUGGAUAUAUAUGUGUUCAUGACUAUUGGUCAUAUGUGUUGAAUAUGCUAUAUUGGUCAUAUAA